This 512-nucleotide ribosomal RNA is filed under the name uncultured bacterium. RNAcentral describes it as "bacterial SSU rRNA". It matches the Rfam family "Bacterial small subunit ribosomal RNA", at positions 17 to 518 of the family's 1533-position model. The record is from RNAcentral.
UUCUGGCUCAGGAUGAACGCUAGCUACAGGCUUAACACAUGCAAGUCGAGGGGCAUCAUGAUCAAAGCUUGCUUGAUGAUGGCGACCGGCGCACGGGUGAGUAACGCGUAUCCAACCUUCCCCCCAGUAGGGCAUAGCCCGGCGAAAGUCGGAUUAAUACCCUAUGUUUUUCCAAUGAGGACAUCUGAGCUGGAACAAAGAUUUAUCGCUGGGGGAUGGGGAUGCGUCCGAUUAGGUUGUUGGCGGGGUAACGGCCCACCAAGCCCGCGAUCGGUAGGGGUUCUGAGAGGAAGGUCCCCCACACUGGUACUGAGACACGGACCAGACUCCUACGGGAGGCAGCAGUGAGGAAUAUUGGUCAAUGGGCGUAAGCCUGAACCAGCCAAGUAGCCGUGCAGGACGACGGCCCUAUGGGUUGUAAACUGCUUUUAUGCGGGGAUAAAGUGAGGUAUGUAUACCUUUUUGUAGGUACCGCAUGAAUAAGGACCGGCUAAUUCCGUGCCAGCCGCCGC